CCUCAGCUUGGAACUUCAGAGGUUGAAAGUACAGCUCAAAUGCCUGAGAUGGAGGUGAGCCUCCAAAGAAAUUACAUCUUUGAAGAGAAUUUGCAGUCUGAAGAGAAGCUUUAGCUUCCAGCUGCUUUCAGACAUCUUCUGAACCCCUGUGUGGAGGAAAAGCUAGUUGUGCAGGAUCAAUCAACAGACAAACUUGACCAAGAGGUCUUUAGAGCAUUGGCACUGGCAAGAUCAAAGAAAUGGUGAAAUUACUUGUGCUGAAGCAGUUUCAGAUCCUCCUGAACAAGGAGUUUAAAAUUUGUCUCAGAACUCUGAAAAUAAUGAAGAUUGUGUCUCUGGAGGAUUUAACCCAAAUGAGGAAGAAAUAAGUAUGGCUUAUAGAAAAAAUGUACUAAUGGAAUAAGCUUAGAAGAAGGCAGUCUACAAGGAUUCUUCCUUCCCUCAAAAUGGAGCCCAAAGGAGAGAGGCUGGCUACCAUGCAUCUAACUGCAGGACACCAGGCUGAGAAAAUAAUCUGGAGACCAAAAAGUCUAUUGAAAACCAGGAUGUUUCUGAAUAAGACCACUUUGGGAGCAAUAAUGAAAAGACCUACCAAAGAUGGUCCCUGAAACCUAAACUUGAGAAAAGAUGGAGAAUGUAAAGAAUAGGUUGGAGAGCCAAGAGGGAGACCAGCAGAGUAUGGGAUCAAAUGUCAGUUGCCAGCAAGAAAAUACUCAACAAAGAGAGGGGCCAGGCAAAAAGAAAAUUUGCAAGAAUAUAUCUUAUUAUACAACAAAAAUUCCUAUAGGAAAGAGACCAUAUAAGUGUGAUAUGACUGAAGAUAUUUUCAAACAGAAUACGGAACUAAUGAAACAUAAAAUGUGCAGUGUAGGGAAACAAUACAAAUGUAAGGAAUGUGGGAAAACUUUCAGUUACUAUUCUUUUCUUAGUAAUCAUCCAAAGAGUCACCCUUAUCUUCUCAUUUUGGAGAGAAAUCUUCUGAAUGUAAUAGUUGGAAAAUCUUCAGUGAGAAUGUAACCUUUAUUCAGCAUGAGAAAAUCCACAGUGGAGAGAAACCCUUCAAAUGCAAUGACUGUGUGAAAACUUUCAGCAGGAGUUCUCUUAUUAAACAUCACAGAGUGACUCCUCUGGUGGGCCAGUGGCGAAGAAUCUGCCUUACAAUGCAGGGGAUGCAGGUUCCAUCCCUGGUCAGGGAACUAAGAUCCCACAUGCCCCGGGGCAACUAAGCCUGUGUGCCACAACUACUGAGCU
Molecule: long non-coding RNA, 1251 nt
Organism: Balaenoptera musculus (blue whale)
Lineage: Eukaryota; Metazoa; Chordata; Mammalia; Artiodactyla; Balaenopteridae
Exons: 3
Source: RefSeq, a predicted model, not a curated record